Long non-coding RNA from Cyprinus carpio (common carp), 1142 nucleotides. The record is from Ensembl. NCBI's taxonomy places the organism in Eukaryota, Metazoa, Chordata, Actinopteri, Cypriniformes, Cyprinidae.
AUGCCAAAACCCUCUGAUGUGAUGAUAACCACGCCAGUAUACCAGCAACAGCAGUAUGAAAUCUCCAAGUUCCUGAAGACCAAGCCACUGGCUCUGGGGAUUUUGGUAGUACUGAUAGCCUUAUUGGCACUCGGUUUGACGCUCCAUAAUGAGAGUUUUCAUCUUCUCUGGUCACCAAUCAUUUCCACUAUAAUUGGAGCCAUAACAGUCUUGGCUGCAUACACACGUAAACCACGUCUGGUCAAUAUCUCACAAAAGCUCAGCUAUGUACAUUUUGCAAUAGCUGCUUUCUCCCUCCAAACUCACAUUCUUUUUGUUUUGUCAACCCCUGUCAUGGUCAGUUAUGUGACCACAGAUGUGCCUGUCAACCGCAUCAUGCUAAUGGGUCAGCCGGACUCUUCUGCAGUGGUACAGUCCGUUAGUUCAGUCAUGUACAUGCUGCCAGCAGCACAUGGCUUAGUAACACCUGCUCCUCUGCCAAAUUGUGGUCUUUUCCCAAAUGCAUCUCCACCAAUCUACAGUCCAGUGCCAACUACACCUCCACCCAGCUACGAUAAACUCUCAGAUGCACCACCACCAAACUAUGGUCCAGUUGCAAGAACACCUCCACCAGCAUAUGAGUAUGAAGAUUUACAGACCAGAAGAUGAACUAGAUCUCAGACGCAAAUUGAAAUGUUUGAAGUUUACACAAUUUAUGGUGUUGGAUUAUGGCGAAUGUAAAACCAAAACUGAUACUUGUGUAAAUCAAAUGGAUGAGAAACACGCAUCAGAGUCCUUUGUUUCGAUCGUUUUGUUUUCACCCAAAUGUAUAAUGUUCUGUUGGAUAUGAUUAUACAUAAUACAUUGUUUUUUGUUUGUCAGUUUUCUUAAUUUAUGUGCAGUUUUUUUGUAAUUCAACACAGUAGGCAGCACAAUGGAAAUUUCACUUGAUUAAUUCAGCCCAGCAUUUACAGACUGAGACUUAGCCUUUAAAAUCCUAGCAAACAGUGUUCAGUGUGUACUUUUAAAGAAAAAAAUGUUUAAAUUUGUAUCACUCAAACAAGUGGUUUGCACAAUCAAGUCAUAAAUUGACUAUUCAUUAACCUCAGCAGCUCUAUUAUUCAGUUAAUAAAAUCAGUAAAAAUGUACUGUAACUAAAUUAU